AUUGAACGCUGGCGGCAUGCCUUACACAUGCAAGUCGAACGGUAACGGGCCUUCGGGUGCCGACGAGUGGCGAACGGGCGAGUAAUACAUCGGAACGUGCCCGACCGUGGGGGAUAACGAGGCGAAAGCUUUGCUAAUACCGCAUACGAUCUACGGACGAAAGCAGGGGACCGCAAGGCCUUGCGCGGGCGGAGCGGCCGAUGGCAGAUUAGGUAGUUGGUGGGAUAAAAGCUUACCAAGCCGACGAUCUGUAGCUGGUCUGAGAGGAUGAUCAGCCACACUGGGACUGAGACACGGCCCAGACUCCUACGGGAGGCAGCAGUGGGGAAUUUUGGACAAUGGGCGCAAGCCUGAUCCAGCCAUGCCGCGUGCAGGAUGAAGGCCUUCGGGUUGUAAACUGCUUUUGUACGGAACGAAAAGCCUUCUUUUAAUACAGGAGGGUCAUGACGGUACCGUAAGAAUAAGCACCGGCUAACUACGUG
This 482-nucleotide ribosomal RNA is filed under the name uncultured bacterium. RNAcentral describes it as "partial 16S ribosomal RNA". It matches the Rfam family "Bacterial small subunit ribosomal RNA", at positions 30 to 507 of the family's 1533-position model. The record is from RNAcentral.